GACGAACGCUGGCGGCGUGCCUAAUACAUGCAAGUCGAACGCUUUUUCUUUCACCGGAGCUUGCUCCACCGAAAGAAAAAGAGUGGCGAACGGGUGAGUAACACGUGGGUAACCUGCCCAUCAGAAGGGGAUAACACUUGGAAACAGGUGCUAAUACCGUAUAACACUAUUUUCCGCAUGGAAGAAAGUUGAAAGGCGCUUUUGCGUCACUGAUGGAUGGACCCGCGGUGCAUUAGCUAGUUGGUGAGGUAACGGCUCACCAAGGCAAAGAUGCAUAGCCGACCUGAGAGGGUGAUCGGCCACACUGGGACUGAGACACGGCCCAGACUCCUACGGGAGGCAGCAGUAGGGAAUCUUCGGCAAUGGACGAAAGUCUGACCGAGCAACGCCGCGUGAGUGAAGAAGGUUAUCGGAUCGUAAAACUCUGUUGUUAGAGAAGAACAAGGAUGAGAGUAAAAUGUUCAUCCCUUGACGGUAUCUAACCAGAAAGCCACGGCUAACUACGUGCCAGCAGCCGCGGUAA
Molecule: ribosomal RNA, 523 nt
Filed under: uncultured bacterium
Lineage: Bacteria
Description: partial 16S ribosomal RNA
Rfam family: Bacterial small subunit ribosomal RNA
Source: RNAcentral